RNAcentral lists this long non-coding RNA (1146 nucleotides) under Ficedula albicollis (Collared flycatcher). RNAcentral describes it as "lncRNA (ENSFALG00000026668.1)". Lineage: Eukaryota; Metazoa; Chordata; Aves; Passeriformes; Muscicapidae. The record is from RNAcentral.
AGCAGACCAAGGCCAGGAAGAAAUAUAUUAUUUAUGUUCACUAAGUUUUAGAUAGACAGCUUUUCAAAACUUACCCUUCUUCUUUUGCAGUAUUUUGUUCAAAUAGAUGACAGGCUCUGCUGCUCUGUGGUAUUAAGCAGUUAACAUUUAACAAGGAUCAACCCACAAAUCCACAGAUGUUUCUGUGAGCGCUUCAAAGGAAUGUGGAAUUUUCUAAAAUGGGAAGGCCAUAGUAUGUGGCAACCAACAACAGCAAGGCCAUUGAAUCUGAUUCCUUCUCCCUGUAGACUGGAUUCCCUCCAGAACUGCCUGUUAUCCUCAUUAGGACAGAAUUACCACUUCUUCCAACCGGCCACUGGAUCUCCUUUUGGAUGUCAAACACAGGAGAAAAGCAGAGGCCCUGAACUCUGGAAAUGGAUUAUCCAGUGGUACCCACCUUCCCUUGCAGUCCAGGAAUAAAUGUGUGACCCUGGCCUGACAGUGCUAUAUAGAGGUGUUAGAAUGACAGCUUUGGAGGCUGAAGUCUCCUCUUUGCUCAGCAGUGGACAGAAGAUGGGAUAAUCCUGUCUUUGCUUCGUUCAGGUUGGUUUUCAUCUGUCUUCUACAGCUGCUGUUUGUUUUCCAAUCAACCAAAGUUUGCAGUAGGGAUUUCUCAGGACAACUUAAAAAUUAGAUUAAAAGUGGAAGACCACUGGCAUCUUUUACCUUGGAAUCCACUGUCAGUAGCUUUUCUUUCUUGAAUUCAUGGGCUAGUAAUCUAGAGGCAGAGACUAAUUUUCUAAUAAUCUUUAAAAUUAACCUCGUUUACCUGCUUUCUAGCUAAAAAUGCACCUUAUAACGUGCAAAGCCUUGCAGACUGGUUUUGGUGUGAAAGUGUAUUUGAGAAGAGACUGGAAACUAUUUCCACAAGUGAAAAAGCUGAUUUACAUUUAAACAGAUUGUUUCUUCAGAAAGGAAGUUUACCUAGGGUAAAUGCUGGGUGGGAAUGUUCUUUGAAAGGAUGUUAAUUGUACCUUGGUUCAAAGAACUCCUUGAAAUUCCUGUAAUGCAAUUAUGCUAAGUUGGAGGAAGCUAAAGGAUUGUGUAUUGGCAAAAAUGCAGUUAAAAUCCCAGUUGAAGUCAUGUGUCAGAAGUGCUAUUGAUGAU